RNAcentral lists this ribosomal RNA (765 nucleotides) under uncultured Streptococcus sp. RNAcentral describes it as "bacterial SSU rRNA". It matches the Rfam family "Bacterial small subunit ribosomal RNA", at positions 28 to 776 of the family's 1533-position model. The record is from RNAcentral. Lineage: Bacteria; Bacillati; Bacillota; Bacilli; Lactobacillales; Streptococcaceae.
GAUGAACGCUGGCGGCGUGCCCAAUACAUGCAAGUAGAACGCUGAAGCUUGGUGCUUGCACCGAGCGGAUGAGUUGCGAACGGGUGAGUAACGCGUAGGUAACCUGCCUCUUAGCGGGGGAUAACUAUUGGAAACGAUAGCUAAUACCGCAUAAAAGUCGAUAUCGCAUGAUGUUGAUUUGAAAGAUGCAAUUGCAUCACUAAGAGAUGGACCUGCGUUGUAUUAGCUAGUUGGUGAAGUAACGGCUCACCAAGGCGACGAUACAUAGCCGACCUGAGAGGGUGAUCGGCCACACUGGGACUGAGACACGGCCCAGACUCCUACGGGAGGCAGCAGUAGGGAAUCUUCGGCAAUGGGGGCAACCCUGACCGAGCAACGCCGCGUGAGUGAAGAAGGUUUUCGGAUCGUAAAGCUCUGUUGUAAGAGAAGAACGAGUGUGAGAGUGGAAAGUUCACACUGUGACGGUAACUUACCAGAAAGGGACGGCUAACUACGUGCCAGCAGCCGCGGUAAUACGUAGGUCCCGAGCGUUAUCCGGAUUUAUUGGGCGUAAAGCGAGCGCAGGCGGUUAGAUAAGUCUGAAGUUAAAGGCUGUGGCUUAACCAUAGUACGCUUUGGAAACUGUUUAACUUGAGUGCAGAAGGGGAGAGUGGAAUUCCAUGUGUAGCGGUGAAAUGCGUAGAUAUAUGGAGGAACACCGGUGGCGAAAGCGGCUCUCUGGUCUGUAACUGACGCUGAGGCUCGAAAGCGUGGGGAGCAAACAGG